Molecule: ribosomal RNA, 253 nt
Filed under: uncultured bacterium
Lineage: Bacteria
Description: partial 16S ribosomal RNA
Rfam family: Bacterial small subunit ribosomal RNA
Source: RNAcentral
UACAGAGGGUGCAAGCGUUAAUCGGAAUUACUGGGCGUAAAGCGCGCGUAGGUGGUUUGUUAAGUUGGAUGUGAAAUCCCCGGGCUCAACCUGGGAACUGCAUUCAAAACUGACAAGCUAGAGUAUGGUAGAGGGUAGUGGAAUUCCCGGUGUAGUGGUGAAAUGCGUAGAUAUCGGGAGGAACACCAGUGGCGAAGGCGACUACCUGGCCUGUUCUUGACGCUGAGGCGCGAAAGCUAGGGGAGCAAACGGG